This 1184-nucleotide long non-coding RNA is filed under the name Takifugu rubripes (torafugu). RNAcentral describes it as "lncRNA (ENSTRUG00000030099.1)". Lineage: Eukaryota; Metazoa; Chordata; Actinopteri; Tetraodontiformes; Tetraodontidae. The record is from RNAcentral.
GGCCCUGGGGAUUCUGGUGGCUUUUAAAAGACACUCAAUUCAAAGGCCGGUGUCUUGAAUCACAUUUUGGAAUUGGCUUGUGCUUUUUCCUGCUAAUUUUCUUCGCUCCUAAUUAACAUGCCAUGAAAACUCUAAAAUCAGCACAAUAUGAAAGACAUUUGCCUCUUUGUAACAGCAGAUCGGGGUGCAGGAAGAGCACUGAUGUGACUUUAUUGAUGACAUGCUGGGACAGAUUAAAUAUAGAAGUAACGUAAUUAAGCCUGAGUUUACUGUCUAUAAUGAGUCCCCUGUAUUUGAGAUCACUCAGCUGCCAUUAAUGAAUGUUUGAUUUCAGUCCACCGCAGGCUUGACUGCAGCUCCGGUAAUCAAUUACAGCUAGUUUGCUGUCUUGAACGUAAUCCAUGUGCAGCCAGGAUUCCAACCAAGUGAUGUGAAGCGAAGGCAAAGUAGUGUUGGCGGAAAGACCUGUUAAAACUCAAGACGUGACCCAAGAAGACAGACAAGGAAGGCAGCGUACAACGGUCCACGUUCUACUCGUGAAUACGACAGUGAACCAAGCCAAAACCCAGUAAGAUGCUUCAAGCUGAGGGAAGACGUGGUGACCUAAAGGCAAGAGAAGAAAAGGCAACGAGCUCAAGGAAUCAAAGCCUGGAGCACUCAGGUGUAGAGGCAGCCAGCACGAGAGAUGGAUCAACCACGCCCCUAGAGGACAAAAUAGAGCAUCGCAGCCAAACACAGACCAGACACAGGAUCAUAACAACACCAAUACCCCGUCUCCACGCUGCCCUGCUGGAGGGAAGAACGCACAGGACCUGACUCCUGUGUUUGCUCCAGGCUGGAGCUCUCUGUGCGCCCCGGAAAGCUGGACAAGUGCGCCCCCUGCGGUCCAGGAGGACUGUUGAAUUGAUAUUUUAAUAAAUACUUUGUUUUGGACAUUACUCCCUCUUAGCUUUGCCUGCUUUCGGGUCCAGGAGAAAACCCAGACUCAACAUGUUGAGUUCCAUUCAAUGGGUGCCUGACAUGUAGUGUUGUUGAGAUGGGAGGAUAUACCUCCCAAAGAUGACAUACGAAGGGAUGUAAACCUUCACAUUUAGCCUCAGUUCACCUUUGACCUUGGUCUCAUUUGAACAGUGGUAAAUGUGUGUAAAUUCACCUGCCGCCUGUUCUUUUAUUCAAGAAAAAAG